AUAAAAGUAAUGAUGGAGAAGAGUAAGUAUUGGAUGUCUACAGAGAGGAAGUGCCUUGGCUGGAAGCACUUCUAGAUUUGAAGAUACUGAAGUUCGCUCCUGAACUGCUGAGUUGAACUACUAGUAGGCUCAGUCGGCUAAGUCCGUUAUUAUUGAGAGUGACUUGACUUUAAGUCAAGUAAAAAGAGUGGUACCGCGAAUAACCUUCGUCUCUUUG
RNAcentral lists this non-coding RNA (217 nucleotides) under Caldisalinibacter kiritimatiensis. Its description in RNAcentral is "T-box sequence". It matches the Rfam family "T-box leader". From Rfam's summary of the family: Uncharged tRNA acts as the effector for transcription antitermination of genes in the T-box leader family. Lineage: Bacteria; Bacillati; Bacillota; Tissierellia; Tissierellales; Thermohalobacteraceae. The record is from RNAcentral.